This 603-nucleotide long non-coding RNA is filed under the name Sus scrofa (pig). Its description in RNAcentral is "lncRNA (ENSSSCG00070004282.1)". Lineage: Eukaryota; Metazoa; Chordata; Mammalia; Artiodactyla; Suidae. The record is from RNAcentral.
AAAUUUCUUGAUUUCUGUGACCUACACCACAGUUCACGGAAACACCAGAUCUUUAACCCUCUGAGCAAGGCCAGGGAUCAAACCUGCACCCUCAUGGAAACUAGUUGGGUUCGUAACCCCCUGAGCCACAACAGGAACUCCCACGUGCCCUUCAAUUCUCCUUUUUAAUAGCCGUACAUAUUCCAUUCAGUGAAUAUAUCAUAAUUCAUUUGACCCUAACGAUGGCCCCUUAUCUAUUUUUCAUGUUCCCCACAUAGUAAAUAAUACUGUGAUGUGCACUUCUUUACAAAAAUAUUUCUGCUUAUUUCCUCAGAUAAGACUCAUCAAAGUAGAACUUCUGAGACAAAUUGUGUAGAUGUGUUUAAAGUCUGACGCAUUUUGUCCAUCUCUUCAUUUUACAGAGGAGGAAACUGAGGAACAGAGAUGGUGAUCUUCCACGUGGGCCUUUCUCAGAAACGGCUGCCUCGGCCCCAAGAACCACGGUGACAGGCCUGCUCUGGGGUUAGCUCAGGUGCCUACUCUCCCAAGACGGCGAGCCAAGACCCUUCCCCCUUCCCCGUGGGACACCACACACCUCCAGCUUUCUCGGGAUUACGAGACCAC